GAUGAAGAACGUAGCGAAAUGCGAUAAGUAAUGUGAAUUGCAGAAUUCAGUGAAUCAUCGAAUCUUUGAACGCAUAUUGCGCCCGCCAGUAUUCUGGCGGGCAUGCCUGUUCGAGCGUCAUUUCAACCAUCAAGCCCCAGGCUUGUGUUGGGGACCUGCGGCUGCCGCAGGCCCUGAAAACCAGUGGCGGGCUCGCUGUCACACCGGGCGUAGUAGAUUUUAUCUCGCUCAGGGCGUGCUGCGGGUCCCGGCCGUUAAAAGCCUUUUUUUACCCAAGGUUGACCUCGGAUCAGGUAGGAAGACCCGCUGAACUUAAGCAUAUCAAUAAGCGGAGGA
This 336-nucleotide unclassified non-coding RNA is filed under the name soil metagenome. RNAcentral's name for it is "partial contains 5.8S ribosomal RNA, internal transcribed spacer 2, and large subunit ribosomal RNA". The stretch from base 1 to 120 matches the Rfam family "5.8S ribosomal RNA", at positions 35 to 154 of the family's 154-position model. The record is from RNAcentral.